GACAGAGGGUGCAAACGUUGUUCGGAAUUACUGGGCGUAAAGCGUGUGUAGGCGGCCUUAUAAGUCGGAUGUGAAAGCCCAGGGCUCAACCCUGGAAGUGCACUCGAUACUGUAAGGCUCGAGUACUGGAGAGGUUGGUGGAAUUCUCGGUGUAGAGGUGAAAUUCGUAGAUAUCGAGAGGAACACCGGUGGCGAAGGCGGCCAACUGGACAGAUACUGACGCUGAGACACGGAAGCGUGGGGAGCAAACAGG
This 253-nucleotide ribosomal RNA is filed under the name uncultured bacterium. RNAcentral's name for it is "partial 16S ribosomal RNA". It matches the Rfam family "Bacterial small subunit ribosomal RNA", at positions 524 to 776 of the family's 1533-position model. The record is from RNAcentral.